Molecule: long non-coding RNA, 3795 nt
Filed under: Hordeum vulgare
Lineage: Eukaryota; Viridiplantae; Streptophyta; Magnoliopsida; Poales; Poaceae
Description: long non-coding RNA (HVUL_LNC012634)
Source: RNAcentral
UUUCAAUCUUUACUGUUGUGUUGUUAAUCUAAGUAUGUUUCUCUUAUUUAACUAAAUUUAAAUUAACUUAAGAGCAAGUUUUUAAUUAAUCCUUACUUUUUUUUGACUUUCUCCUUACUUCCUCUUUAAAAACCUCUAGAUAAAUAAUAUUUACCAUGGCGUACCUUUACCUCAAUUUAUUUGUUAAAUUGUAUAUGUACUCUAUUGGGUCACUCCGUUUCCUAGAUGUUUUUCACUUUUUCUUCUCACUGUACAUUCUCACUUAGAGUUUUGCUAGUUUCGGUAGUUUUAUCUUUGUAUGACUCCAGGUUUGUAUGUAUAAGAUUUAUUUAUCACCUUGCUCGAAUUGUGUAAAACUUUGAUCUCAACUUUAAUUCAGAACUUGGCUCGAUAGCUAAUAUUCGAAUUUUUUCGUCCUCCAUAUUAUAAUAAUUGUGAAUAUUUUUCAUAUAAAAAUAUAUUGAAGUUAUUGAAUAGAGGAAUCAGAAUCAUCUCAUUGCCUUCUCUGCUUUAUAAGUUAGGAUAUUAUUCUACUAUGUUGCAGGUGUGCAUAUAGAGCCUAGUUAUUUAUUUCAUUUGUUUGGUUUCAUUUUUUUGUUAAAGAUUGGUAGCAGAAGGCAUUUUGCCCUUUUUGGCACUGUUAUUUAAUAUGCCACAGCGUUAGAAUUGCUUGUUCCAUACUUGUUUGUGUACACACCAUAAUGUAUUUAGUUACAUAGUUGUCAAUAAUUGAGAUAGCAGGUGUGUGCAUGUAGUUUAAUAUGCCACAGCGUUAGAAUUGCUUGUUCCAUAAUUGUUUGUUUACAAAUCAUAGUGUAUGUAGUGACAUAUUUGUCAGUAACACCUUUGGGCAACUGUUAUUUGCUACGCCGCAGCUUUGUUUCAUACUUGUUUCUUUAAACAAAUAUUUAUUUAUCUAGUUACACCAUUAAUUGAGAAAACAUUUGAAGGUACGUUAAGUCAUGAAUUCAAAUAACAGUUAAGGUGUGUGACUGACCUUGAAGGGGGUUUAGGGUUGUAAAACCAGAAUGAAUCCUUAAUUUCUUUCUGUAGUUAAAUAGCUUGGCUGUAUUUUGUGUUGCUCAUGAGGUGUAUACGUUAAGAUAUCUUCUUAGUUCUUACGUCAGCGAGGUCAUUUUUAUUCCGUACUAUAGUCAAGUCUUUGAGCUCACAUUUCAGCUAGUAUGUCCUUCUAAACUCAACAACUAUUACAUGCCUAUAAUUUUGCAAAUAAGUACCUCUUGUAGGUUCAUUAUUAGUAUCAUGCUUUCUGAAAUGCGAAGUUAAUAUAAUUAACUUUUUCCAGAUAUCUUUUCGCAUCGUACAAACUAGGACACAUAUUGAAUCGUAAAGUUCAUAUCAUCCCAUCGUCAAGUUAAUCUUAUCUCUGUUUAGUCCGCAUGCUAAGUUUGUCUUACGUCUACUUUCUAAACUUCAACAAAAGUUCAUUGAGAAAAACACCAGCAUUCACAAUACCCAAACAAUAUCACUAGAUUCAUCAUAGAAUAUAUCUUCAGUAUACUGUAGAUGUUGAUACUUCUCAAAAAGAAACGGGAGGACUAUUUUUUUCCGUAGUUAUAGCGUUGUUUUUAAUACGGCUAUUUUAUCUUAGAUGGUGCGCCGUGAACUUCUUUGACUCUGCAUUGUCUUGAAUUUAGUGCAUGGCUGAAUUUGUAGUGUGGUUGUGGUAAACUGUCAUUAUUAAGGUGUAAUUUUGAAUGUUGACCUUUUGUCUGGGUUAGUUAUCGGUCUCUUUCUAAAGCUUUGGUGGCACUUUGAUUUGUCGAAAAAAUAACAACUAUUUGAAGAAUGAUCUACCGGAUAGUCAUGUACCUGAUAUUAGUUGUGUCUUUUCUCUUUUGAGGUAACCGCAACACUUGCAAGCUUGAAAAGAUGAACUUGUAUGUGGUCUGGGACUUGGUGGUGUAUUUGGUAUCUUGCACUUUUUUUAGAUCUCUAGCAUGCAUCUUUGCUAUUUAUGUGCUAUUUUUUUCCUUAUAGUGCAUUAAUACACAGAACUACCUUUUGUAUUUUUUUUCCUUAGUACGUUAUUUAUGUUUCUUUUCUUUUUGUAUUUAGCUCUUAUGUUUACUAGUUCUACUUGGUUUUCGCUCAUGAAAAUCUCUGCACCGCAGUUAUCCAUGCUCGAGUAUAAUUAACUUAAAACAUCUUAGAAUUAUGUGAAGUUGUCUGUAUCCCAUACCAUAUUGAGGUCUGUCCACAUUUUGGUUAUAAUAAGGCUUGUCCGUCUAAGAUAGUUGAAGUUACUAACUGAUAUUUUUUACAUUUGUAAGUUUCUUUUGAUUUUGUUCGACUGUAUGUUCCCUCUGUUUAUGGUACAAUUGUGAAAUGAUUAUGAUCAAAACAAUUUUAGUGCCUAUAUAGUUCAUUAGCACUAUUGUACAUCUGAAAUGCAAGUUUCUACAUUUUCUGUAUCUUUCUUACAGCAUUUGUUCUAUAGCUUAGCUAAACAUACUGCUAUGUUCUUUUCAACUUUUUAUCCAUUGUUAUUGUAUGGCUGUUUUACAUUGGAUAAUGUACUGUACAUUAACUUGUUUUGACAGGGUCUCAGAUUCGGUUGAUGUUGGAAUUUCUAUUGUGAUAGUGUACAAUCAUGAUGCGAGGUGUUAAUUUGUUUAUGACAAUUGCUGGUUGACAAGUUUAAAAUGAUGAUUUUGACUGGGGUCUGUGACUUGAGGUGUAUUUAUUAGAGUGAGUACAGAUUUCUUUUAUUGUUUUAAGAUGUUGAGAAUGAAAAUUUGCUAUUUAUAUACAAUGUUUUUAUUUACGAGUAAGUCUGUUGGAUAGAUCGAGUCUUGCUUGGCGGUAGCUUCUAUUUGUAUGAUUUGUUUUGAAAAGGAAUUGCUGGUUGUUCUGUCGAUGGAUGUGUUCUCAUAGCCUUGCAUUUUUUUUUGUGCGCUAGCUGUGGGCAAAAGGACCCCUUGAAAGACUAUCUCAGUAGGUCAUUCUUAUUUGUUUUGUUCUAUCUUUUUGGGUCUCGACCAUUCUGGUAUGUUCUUAAAUCUUGGUUUUUAGUAGAUUACAAGAUACUGUACUGUCUAUAUGUCCCCUCUGGUUGGCUGCUUUAGUUCUUGUGUCUCAUUUUGAUGUGGGUUGUAUGUUGUUUGCAUCUCCAUUUACAGUUUGUAUUGUUUGCUCCGUUUACAUGUUUCAUCUUCGUCUCUUUAGAUUUAUUAUUGCCUCUUUAUGUGUGAAGCGUAUGUAUGGGGUGGGUGAGGGUGCGUAACACUGCCAAUGCCGGUCCCAAGCCCGGAUAAAAGUGGAGGGAGCACCAACUAACUAUUGUAUAUGGGACAGAUGAACAUCCUGUUAUGCUCUACCUAGUUUUGUUGUAUAUUUUUGGAAAAGUUGUUUCAGACUUUCAGUGCAGUAGAACCGGAGCGGAUGGCCCUAGCUGUAUAUUUUUGGAAGUUGUUUCAGACUUCCAGUCCAGCUUGAGUAUGCACACAGGAAAUUGAAAUCUCGGGUCUAAACUGAUCCUAGCAUCAAAAUAGGGAAGAAAUAAAGAAAAAUAGGGAAGAAAGUAAGAACUUGGAAAUUGAUGGAAGUCGUCUUAAACUUUUUAGUUCAUUAAAUUUUGGGGUUCUUCUUUUUACUGUGGUCAACUCUACAAAUAGCACGGGCAAAACAUGUAUUCAUCAGAUGGUGGUAACAAAGCCGAAACUUUGCAGGUGUGGUACCUGGUAAUUCAUUUUUGUUAGUUGUCAGCCUCACUUGACGAAACGACAGCUUAGUGCUGUAUUUCAUUGAUUGAUGAAGAGAGAGCAAUAAGGG